This 329-nucleotide ribosomal RNA is filed under the name uncultured eukaryote. Its description in RNAcentral is "partial 18S ribosomal RNA". It matches the Rfam family "Eukaryotic small subunit ribosomal RNA", at positions 1470 to 1796 of the family's 1831-position model. The record is from RNAcentral.
CCCUUAGAUGUCCGGGGCCGCACGCGCGCUACACUGAAGGAAUCAGCGUGGCUUUCUCCCUGACCCGAAAGGGUUGGGAAACCCGUUGAAUCUCCUUCGUGAUAGGGAUUGGGGCUUGAAAUUGUUCCCCAUGAACGAGGAAUUCCCAGUAAGCGCGAGUCAUAAGCUCGCGUUGAUUACGUCCCUGCCCUUUGUACACACCGCCCGUCGCUCCUACCGAUUGGGUGUGCUGGUGAAAUGUUCGGAUCGGCCGUUUGUCGCGGUUUCCGCGUCAUGUGGCUGAGAAGUACAUUAAACCCUCCCACCUAGAGGAAGGAGAAGUCGUAACA